This is a small nuclear RNA of Bombyx mandarina (wild silkworm), 114 nucleotides long. NCBI's taxonomy places the organism in Eukaryota, Metazoa, Arthropoda, Insecta, Lepidoptera, Bombycidae. The record is from RefSeq and is a predicted model, not a curated record.
GUGUCUAUUGAAAUGAGAAACGGUUAGCACUCCCCUUGACAAGGAUGGAACACACCGUGUCACCGUUCUCGUCGAACCCGUCGCUUGCGACGAAGGGCUCGACGAGCGAAUUAA